UUUAUAUUACGGGCGGAAAUUGUUACCAUUUUUGAGCCGAAAAUGGUAACAAUUUCUGCACGUAAUACAAA
RNAcentral lists this microRNA precursor (71 nucleotides) under Paramuricea clavata. The record is from RNAcentral. Lineage: Eukaryota; Metazoa; Cnidaria; Anthozoa; Malacalcyonacea; Plexauridae.